GAUGAACGCUGGCGGCGUGCCUAAUACAUGCAAGUCGAGCGAACAGAUGAGGAGCUUGCUCCUCUGACGUUAGCGGCGGACGUGUGAGUAACACGUGGAUAACCUACCUAUAAGACUGGGAUCACUUCGGGAAACCGGAGCUAAUACCGGAUAAUAUAUUGAACCGCAUGGUUCAAUAGUGAAAGACGGUUUUGCUGUCACUUAUAGAUGGAUCCGCGCCGCAUUAGCUAGUUGGUAAGGUAACGGCUUACCAAGGCUACGAUGCGUAGCCGACCUGAGAGGGUGAUCGGCCACACUGGAACUGAGACACGGUCCAGACUCCUACGGGAGGCAGCAGUAGGGAAUCUUCCGCAAUGGGCGAAAGCCUGACGGAGCAACGCCGCGUGAGUGAUGAAGGUCUUCGGAUCGUAAAACUCUGUUAUUAGGGAAGAACAAAUGUGUAAGUAACUAUGCACGUCUUGACGGUACCUAAUCAGAAAGCCACGGCUAACUACGUG
RNAcentral lists this ribosomal RNA (497 nucleotides) under uncultured bacterium. Its description in RNAcentral is "partial 16S ribosomal RNA". It matches the Rfam family "Bacterial small subunit ribosomal RNA", at positions 28 to 507 of the family's 1533-position model. The record is from RNAcentral.